RNAcentral lists this long non-coding RNA (864 nucleotides) under Homo sapiens (human). Its description in RNAcentral is "novel transcript". The record is from RNAcentral. Lineage: Eukaryota; Metazoa; Chordata; Mammalia; Primates; Hominidae.
GCUUUUUUUGUUUUAGUAGAGAGGAGGUUUCACCGUGUUAGCCAGGAUGGUCUCAAUCUCCUGACCUCGUGAUCCGCCCGCCUCGGCCUCUCAAAGUGCUGGGAUUACACGCGUGAGCCACCGCGCCUGGCCUGAAGAAAGUUAAUCAUUAAAGAAGCAACCCAUGGCAAAACUAGUUAUUUUCUUAAAACAGUAGGAAGAAGAAAAGCUUUUUGAAUGAAUCACUUCUCAUCUUCUCCGAAGUUGGAAGCAUCAAGAAUCUAAAUAAGCAUUUAUGAUGGCUGGCAUGAAUAUACAGGUGAAGACAGAACAAGAAAACAAACCAAGAAUUUCCCCUCACCAGCCACCAGCUCUGCCAGCAACUUGAUCUUAGACUUCCCAGCCUCCGUAACGCCUCUGCUUAUAAUCUGUCAUGGAUUGGAAAACUAGAAAAAACAGUUUACAGAGUAUAACAAACUUUGGAGGAGUUAAUCGACUCUAAGUAAAAGAGUAUCUAGCACGGCUGUGGAACAAAGGAGAGACUCACAAACUGUUGAAAGAAUAAAUGAAUGAAUGAAUUCUGUUCAUGAGCUUUAAUAAAACAGCUCUGAGUAGUAACAGUGGAUCAAAUUUAGGCUUCUUGAUGCAGGCAUGGUGUAGAUUACUACUUCUGUAUUGUCCCAGGAGCUCAGCACAUUCCUGCAGAGAUGAUAGGAGCUCAUCUGAUACUUGUCAGCUUUGAAUAAACUCCAGUCCCCAAGAGAGAGAAUGAGAAUCACCGGAAUACGAAACUUCCCUGUUGGACUUCCCAACAUUCUUGAAUGCACCAAGAUAGCCUCUUGCUGUGAGAUUAAUAAAUGAAUAAAUGCCUCCAUAUUUUUCAAA